AUUCGUGUGGGUAGUGGAGAGAGAGAAAAUGAUAGAUAAAAACCCGUUUGGGUUUGUCAUGGAUUUCCAUCCACGACAGACAUUUUCUUAAGCUUCCAAAUUCUUCAUACAAACACUUGUCUAAUAUUUUCAGCUUCUAACACGGCAGCAGACAUUUCCUUAUUUUGCUUCUCCGAAGUGCUUGGGAAAAGAUAACCCAAGAGAACCUUCUAAGUGAAGCCUGUCCUUGCUGCUUGACCUUAGGAAACCAUGGGAAGUGUGUGGCCAUCUCUGCAAGGAUGCUGGGUGUGAAGAGUUCUAGAGUCUGUGUGGUGAUCAGUACCAUUUCCAGAGUCUGUGUUGUGAUCAGUACCAUUUCCUUACUGUCAAAAACGGCCGCGGGCAGAAAAUUACCAUCUUCCCUAUUGUACCUGAGGAUGAACACAAAAACCCUACAUAGCUCCAUUUUCUUAUAUUAGCAAAAGUUCUGGAAAAUAUUACAAAUUAUUCAUGGAAGAAAUGAAUGACAUUUUCAAAUACUAGGUAUAGACACCUGCAAAUCUCUAAUUUUCCUCAGGUUAAGACUUGCUUUUCUUUUCUGUUGCAAUUUAAACUUGAAAAAAUAUUUUUUCUUUUUUUUUUUUUUCUUUCUUAACGGAGAGGAGGGGAGGGAAGGGGCGAGGAGGGAGGGGAGAAGUCACUUGAAAAAAUAUUUAUAGGUAAUAUUGAAUUCUUGAUCUCACAUCUCUUAACAGAGAAUUUGUCUUGCCUCUUUCAAAGUACUUUCGCAACAAUGAGUUUUUCAUUUUCACCUGUUAAUGUCACAUACUCUGUAUUUUUAGUAUACUUCAAGCAGACAUUGUCAAUAUGUGCAUUAAAGGAACAUAAAGAAAAAUCUCCCCUUGGCCAGCCAAUCUGUGGAGUCUGUGGAGAUGUACAAUGCUGUUAAUUCCUCUGAGCUCCAUCUGUGGAAAUGAUGAAGGCUAGCCAUUAUGUAGGAUUGUGAGGUUAAAUUAAUUAGGUUCUUCCAUUAUAAUGCAGUCUUCUGGAGAUGGUUGCCAUUUUCCCUUUAAAUGUCAUUAUUUCUAGAUCUAGUUAGCAGCUGAUGCAGUUAAAGAGGAGAUAAUGUAAAUUUAGCAAUACGAAUAACACUUUCUUUCAUGUAUGUUGAAAAACGCAAGACAAGAAGGACCAGCCAAGUUGUACCUGCCUGCCAUAAACAACUGAUGUAACUCAUACUUUAAAGGAAUAAACUAAAACCAGCCAGUGUGCACUUGGAUUCUUUUCUUCAGUAAAUUCUUGAAUCAAUACUUUUGUUUCAUGUUUUCAUGUUCUCAGUAAUGUUAACAUAUCCAGUUACAAAC
Molecule: non-coding RNA, 1343 nt
Organism: Callithrix jacchus (white-tufted-ear marmoset)
Lineage: Eukaryota; Metazoa; Chordata; Mammalia; Primates; Cebidae
Source: RefSeq, a predicted model, not a curated record